Molecule: ribosomal RNA, 459 nt
Filed under: uncultured bacterium
Lineage: Bacteria
Description: partial 16S ribosomal RNA
Rfam family: Bacterial small subunit ribosomal RNA
Source: RNAcentral
CCUACGGGUGGCAGCAGUGAGGAAUAUUGGUCAAUGGGCGCGAGCCUGAACCAGCCAAGUCGCGUGAGGGAAGACGGUCCUAUGGAUUGUAAACCUCUUUUGUCGGGGAGCAAAAGACGCCACGCGUGGCGUUCCGAGAGUACCCGAAGAAAAAGCAUCGGCUAACUCCGUGCCAGCAGCCGCGGUAAUAAGGAGGAUGCGAGCGUUAUCCGGAUUUAUUGGGUUUAAAGGGUUGGCAGGCGGAAGAUCAAGUCAGCGGUAAAAUUGAGGGGCUCAACCUCUUCGAGCCGUUGAAACUGGUUGUCUUGAGUGAGUGAGAAGUAUGCGGAAGGCGUGGUGGAGCGGUGAAAUGCAUAGAUAUCACGCAGAACUCCGAUUGCGAAGGCAGCAUACCGGCGCUCAACUGACGCUCAUGCACGAAAGUGUGGGUAUCGAACAGGAUUAGAUACCCCGGUAGUC